RNAcentral lists this long non-coding RNA (701 nucleotides) under Nicotiana benthamiana. RNAcentral describes it as "long non-coding RNA (NBEN_LNC011507)". Lineage: Eukaryota; Viridiplantae; Streptophyta; Magnoliopsida; Solanales; Solanaceae. The record is from RNAcentral.
ACUUACCAAUAAACUUCAUUUUGCAAAGCUAGCUUCUAUACUGACACUUCUAAGUUCUAACCUAUAAGUCCAAGGCAGACUAUACUAAGAAAGUAUACAUUUUCAUUAACUUAUAUAAAGUGUAUCCCAUCUCAGUAACUUUAGCUCAAUGCAUACCUGUUAAAAAAUUCACUCAUAAAUACAAAUGUAGAAGAUAUUAAAUCUAGUAUAUCAAAUGAGCUAUAUUACAAUUUGAACUCAAACCCAUAAAAUUUUAAUCUUGGACUUAAACCCAUAAAAUUUCAAUCCUAAAUCAUUCUCUUACUAAUAAUAUUCUAUUAAAUUACACGGAGCGUCCUAUUUGGUUGUCCCCAUUUUACUUAUAUCCAUUUUUUUAAAAAGAGUUUUAAUUUGUACCCACUUUUUAAAUAACAAUUCAACCCCUUUCUCCUCCUCCUCAUCCUUCUUCUGCCGCUCUUAGUGCUAAAGUUUUUACAAAUGAACUAAAUAACUUCAGCAUCACAAAACUUCAGCUACUAGAAUGCUUAAGUUCAGCAAUUACAAAUAAACACUUCAGCAAAUAAAGAGCAAAACUUCAAUACUAGAAUGCUUAAAUUAAACAAUUACAAAUAAAAAUUUCAGUAUACUUGGUUCAUUAAUUUUUCCUACUUCAGACGCGUCUAUUAGAAUACUAAAAUUUGCGUGAUUGCCUUUGCUACUUC